CAGUUAAACUGCGGUAGAUCUUCCUCCAGUAUGACCCAGCUCAAAACAAGGAAAUGGAAAAUGUAGCUAGCUAGAUGCGGUUUCAAUCACUGUUACACUUUGUAAUUAGAAUUGGCUAGUUAUGGUAAAGAAACUUGAGUAGGCGUGACAUCUGUUAUUUAGAAACUGAUAUGAUCAAAAUAAUUUUAAUAAGGAACGUACACAGCGCAGCGGCAGGUGUCACAAACGGAAGAAGUCCAUGUAACGUUAGCUAAAGUAUCGCGUGACCGCAAAAACGAAAAAGUUUGCUGAUUUGCUUUGUUCUGUGGCUACUUCAUAAAUGUUGUGACUCAUUUUGGAUCAUCUCUUUAUUUACGGCAUCGAUUUCAUAAAAUGGAUAGAAUUUGCUCGCUGUAUUUUAGUUACGUUAGAUAGCUAUCGUACCAUCAUACUCAUGAGUGCUUCCCGCUGGCUAACUAGCUAGCUAGGUGCUAGCUAAAUGGCUAGCUAAUUUGAGAAGUUAAAAGUUAGAGAUGGAUGAUAUAAUUUCGCUCAGCUCCGGGAGCGGAGAGGACUCGGAUGUUGAAGUUGUUGGUGUUUACAGUGACAACGAGAACAAGGCCGAAGCAAUACCAUUUAUCAGAGGAGGAUGGGUCAAUCUGGCUGCCUACACACCGUUUGUGAUUGACAUUACUGGUCGGAGGUGGGCACUACCACCACCAAGGAGGCGCAGGAGGAGGGACCCAGGUGGGCCUGUAGAAGUGGUGGACUUGAGUGACAACAACCUCUCGGAUCACUCAGAUCCAGGGCCGGUGAGUCCACUACCUCAGGGAGAGAAAAAGACUGAGGGACUUUCAAAACACAAAGGACCACAUACCAAACGUCCAGAUUCUCUGUCCUGCUCCCCAACUGAACAAGAGUUGGAGAACAAAGCUGUUUUAAAAGCAGAAGAAAGUGACAUCCUUGAGUCCAAUCAGAGUUCUCUCAGGGAUUCAUCUUCAACUCGACCACCAGAUGUCAAGAACGCUGUGAAAUGCUCAGAUGUAGACAUUCCAAAAUGUCCUGUCAAAUCACCAAGUGUGCCUAAAUCUGAACCGCCAGCAGGGAAGGCGAAAGCCUCAGGGUCUUCCUCUUACCAGAUAACUUGGGAGUCACAACAGUGCUUGGGUAUAACUUCUCAACCACUGUGUGAAGGGAAAGAAGAGCCAGAAUGCCUCAAGGCCAAGACCCAAACCUCAACCAUUCCAAAUGAAGCUCUGACUAGCUGCACUGGAAAAGUAGAAAAGCAUGCAUUGGAAGAGCAAGAAAUAGAGUCUAUGUUUACAACGGACAAACCUCUUCUGACAGAGGAAAGGGAAGAACCAGGGUCUCCACAAUCAUUACUCUAUGCUACUCUCUCCCUCUCCCCCCAAAGCCUAGACAGCCCCUAUUACGUCCCUGAUGAUAUUGACCCAGACCCUUUCAGGUUCUCAGAGGAUUGGGGUGUACAUGAAACUCGGCACAACAACACCUGUUAUUCCCCUACACACAUCCCCUUUGAAAGCUCUCUCUCUCCACCUCUACCUGAUGAUCAGACAGUGUGUCUCAACCAGAGUGACCCAGACAACUACCCCACCAGUACACACAGUCUUAAACAGGAUCCAGUCUACCCCUACUGCUCUCCCACCAAUGGCACAGGAUCAGUGCUGUUGGAGGAAAUAAAUCAACUUCAGGCCUUAAACUGCACCAUCUUCAGUCCCUGCUCUCCUUCCAUAGAACCAGACCAACAGGCUCCCCAGAAUUCCCAGCUAACCACCGGCUCCAACUCCCCUGGCUCCUGCAUGGGAGGAACUCAUAGCAAUAAUGAGAGCCAUCCCAACCGGACCCCCAGCCCUACGUCCACAGUCAUCCUAGCUGGGGAGUCCCCAGACUGGCCUGUGGAUGAGACUGAGGCAGACCUGGUUAUGGAUAGCCCCCUGUACAUGUGUAGUAGUAUCCCUAGUGACCCUCCCAUGUCGCUGCGGUCUGAGGACAUGGAUGUGGAGGCAGGGCCCAGAUCUCCUGAGGCCAGCCAGCCUGGUUUGGGGGCUGAGGGCUUGAUGACUACUGCAUGGAGGGAUGGCAAUGAAGGAGAGGAGAUGGGUGGAGAGAGGGUUGGUGGUGAGAAUGACAUGGAGGUCAGCAGAGAGGACAGGCGCUAUGUGUGUCCAAUCCAGCUCAGGAAACUGAGGCAGCUGAUGGCUGGACCAGUUCAGCUCCUGGUAAGUAGGAGAGACAUUUCCCCCACAUUUUCCUGUGGUUUCUCUCACUCUUCUGUUGUUUCUCUCUCUCUCCCUCUCCAGGAGGAUGAAGAAGAGGAGGACGAUGGUUUUGGUGACCCAGAGCCUCUGUGCAGACAGAGCUUGAGCCUGGUGUACAGCACCAUGGAGGAGAACUACCCAGAGGGCACCCUGCAGCUGCUUUCUGACCUGCUGCAGCCCCGCUUCUUCCCCCCCAUCGACAUCACCACCCACCUCCUCAGAGGCAUCCUGCUGGACCCCCAGUGUCCCGACUUUCUCUGUCUGGAGGCCUACACUCUCCUCAUGAGGACCCAGAGGCACAAUCACACUGAUCAGACCACUAUUCCAUGGGACUGGGAGCUGUUGACGUCAGUCAUGGCUGCUGAACAGAGCCGUGGCAGGAGGCUCUGCUGUGAGGUGGUGCGUAUGCUGCUGCAGUACGUCGUCCAGACCAUGGAGGAUGACUUCCGUGUCAAACUUUCCUUCCGUGAUCUCCACCAUUCCAUCGCCAAGGCAACCCUGUCAUGUGAUGUACGGUUCACCCAGAGAUGUUAUCAAUUGGCUCUUUGCUGCUAUUGUGAAAUCAACCGGGGACAAAGACAACAUGUCUGCUGACAUUGAGUUGAAAACACAGAAGGAAAAAGAUGAACAUCUAAAGUGAGUUAAAAAUGACAACAUUCCACACCCCUUGACUUAUUGUUUUGAGAUUGGAAAUAUAGCACCCCACCUUUCAUAUCAGGUCAGUUUGAAGGAUUCAGAAUAGAAACAGAGUACACACAGCCAAUGCGUGUGUGUGUCAUGUGCCUUGUGUGUGUCAGAAUGGUGUUCCUCCUCCAGAAGAUGCUGUCCUUUGCCUUGGAGGUCGACCGCUCCCCGGCUCUCAACUCCAGCAAACUCUCUGGGGAACUCUUCCACACGCUCAUCAGCACUGUCUGUCUGAGACAACACAGGAUGCUGAUGCUGGAGACCCUGGAGAGCAGACUACUGAGGUGUAAGCUGAUAGAGCACCUGCUGCACCAUGCAAGUCCACAGAAGACCCCUCUGCCCAUGUCUCUGAGUCUGCUGCUACACUUCCUACACAACGCCACCCUCCCACCUGACCCUACGGAUGGAGCUGAGAGCUGGAGGAAGUGGGAGGAGUUGGUCCAACUACUAUGGAUGUUGUUGCUGAGCUAUGAGGAAGUGAUGAAAGGUCACCUGCGCUCUGCGGUCACCGAGCGAGGGGGCUACGGUCGCGCUCCAAUCCAGACAGUGCAUGAUUCUUUGUCACGGUUGGCGGUCCAGGAGGCUAUAGAGGCCAUCCUGUCCAGAGCCCAGGCUGACCUGGGCCAAGACCUGCCUCCACACGUCCACGAGUCCCUCACCUACCUGCAGGAUCAUUUGCUGGCCUCCUCUCAUUGACGAUAAGCUCAGCGCUUUGGUUCAAGCGGCUGUUGAAUGAUUUCUAUUUAUUUUUGUAAUGAUUCAUUCAGUUUUCUAAUCUUUCCCCCAAUGAAUUGUUUUAAAUAAAUAUUUAUUAUUUUUUUAA
Molecule: RNA transcript, 3765 nt
Organism: Oncorhynchus kisutch (coho salmon)
Lineage: Eukaryota; Metazoa; Chordata; Actinopteri; Salmoniformes; Salmonidae
Gene: simc1
Gene name: SUMO interacting motifs containing 1
Exons: 7
Source: RefSeq, a predicted model, not a curated record